GGUGCUCAUCUGAAAGCCUUAGGAAGAGCAUGUGAACAGAAACCUGGCAUUUCCCUGUUUGCUGCCUCUACCAUGUGAGAGUAAUUCUCUACCUUUCCAGUUGCUGUGAUGGUUGCAGGCCUAGUGAUCGGCUUGCCUGUACUCCAACAAGCUGAAAAGGACCAAACUGAGACUGUUUUACCCCCUGAGGACUUGCUUUUGUCAUCUUCCUCUUGAACUGUGAAGGAGAGAUGUAGAGAUAAUCACCAGACAGACAAUGUGAUGACCAAACAAGGCGGUGACUGUUGAACCAGAACUCCCGUUGGAAGGAGACACUUACUGUUCAAACUGCAAUGCCUUUGCUUCUUCCGUUCUUAGAUUGUUCUGGAUGCUCCUGGGAUCAUAGAACCUGGCACAACAUGAGAAGCAAUCGUUACGAUGGUUUUUGAAUGAACAGUUUGACGUUGAGCCUUCCCUGACAUUGACAUGGCUCCCUGGAAGUCAGCAGACAGCCAAAGAAGGACAACUGCAUUAACCAUGUGUGGCUUGGAAACGAUGACUGAGACUGACUGAUGGCAUUGCCAUGUGCCACACUUACUUAUGUGUAGUAACCGUGUUACCCUGCAUGGUGCUGUAUCAACAUGUAAAAGUGUCACUCAGAAAUUGUUAGCUGUAACACAUAGGCUUCAUUUCUCUUCCAGAGGGGGCUAUGAUUUUUGUUUCUGCCUAAUUUAUGUCCUAGUUUACCAGUUUGUUCAUCUCUCAGUCAUGGCUCUUGGACUCUUUACUCUUGAAAGGAAAAUGUCAUCUUUAUAGUAGCUUUCUUAUGUGAAAUUCAGUAAUAAGAGGUAAAAGAGUCCUUUCCACUUUCUUGUGUGAUGGGCCAAAUGUCUGUUGCUUUUAGGUUUUAAUUACAACUUUCCAUAUUAAUCAAACUGUUAACGUGUACUGCAGUUGGUAAUUGUUGAGCAGAGGAUGACGAUGACGUGCACAGGAAUUCACCCGUGUGUAGGGAGAUUACAAAACAAUUUGUAGGGGUGCCACUGGCAAUCUUGGCACAAAAUCACUGGCACACAGUUUGCCAUACAAGUACUGUCUUAGACCAGUGGUCCAUCAAGUCCAAUUUCUUGCCUCCAGCAUUGCACAAGAUGUACUGCUGUACUUUACUUACUCUGUUCAAAAUACAUUAACACCUUAUAAGAGAGAAAUGAAGACAGCCAGAAUGGAAAUACAUGAGAACAAGUGUUUCCUUUGCAGUCACGAAUUCUCUAGUCAUCGGACUUCUUAAAAUCUCCUUCCUGUCCCCUGGUGCCUAUCCUCCUACCCAUUGGCUUCUCCUGAACAUCAGCAGGCUGUGGUCCCAAAGACUGAGAAUAUUUCAAAGGCAAAUAUGCUUUGAAUAUCCUGUUAGUGGGCUUCUUUCUUCCAGUUUUAUCCUAUAAGUUAAGGUAGUUGUAGUGAAAUAAUAUAGAGAGAUAAGUGACUUCUUAAUGAGGAUGGAAUGUGUAAGUUGGGCUUUAAACAUCAGCAUCUUACUCUAAAAAUGCUUCUAUACUUACAUAGUAAAAUAGGAAAUAAUGGAACUGUACAUUACCCAUUUAUAUUUUGUGGCUCAUUUUCAGCAGGGCUUAAUCCAGUCUUUGAUUGGGUAUCUCUGUAUACCUCCUGUUUCUGACUUGAAAUAAACCAUACAUACUGGUAUUAGGAAUUAAAAGCCUUUAAAAAUCUUUUGGACCUACUACCAUUUGAACCACAAAAGGGGAGCUGCCAAAUUGCUCUCAUAAAUAUCAACAAGUUAAGUCUGGUAUGGAAAUAAGAACUAGAGUGAUUAAGAAUUGAUUUGCAAAGCAAGGAUUGCAGACUUGUUUGUUUUCCCACACCUGCGCUCCACUUCAGAAGUACAAUGAAGCAAGGCACAACGCACCUUUCCCCUAAUUGGAUAAUGUACUCAAGGGAAUAUGAUCAACAGAGGCUUUUAAGAUCACACCACCAUUUGCCCAAUUAUCAUACCUAAUGACAACACAUUGUUCCUGCAAAAUGCGUCUUUAUUCCCUGGUAGGUUACAUUUCCUUUCAGCCUUUUACCUAUUGAUCCAGCAGUACCUCAUGUAGAACAAAUUUCUUUGUUGGCAAGUCUUGAUUACAAACUCAGAAAAAUCUUUUAUGUCCUCUUCUCAAUAUCUGACUAAGUACGUAAGAGAAGGUCAGUUUAGCAUCCUUGGAAACAGACUCCAGUGCUGAGAUAUUAGACCAGCUUAAAGAGCUGAUAGAAAAAACAAUUAAAGUGACGAAGAGGUAUUUUAUUUAAAGACAAUUCAUAUCCUCCAGCUCAAAUAAAAAAUACCGUUUUUAGAACUA
Long non-coding RNA from Cygnus atratus (black swan), 2336 nucleotides. RefSeq lists it as uncharacterized. The record is from RefSeq and is a predicted model, not a curated record. Lineage: Eukaryota; Metazoa; Chordata; Aves; Anseriformes; Anatidae. The transcript is spliced from 3 exons.